RNAcentral lists this long non-coding RNA (235 nucleotides) under Daucus carota (carrot). Its description in RNAcentral is "long non-coding RNA (DCAR_LNC003405)". Lineage: Eukaryota; Viridiplantae; Streptophyta; Magnoliopsida; Apiales; Apiaceae. The record is from RNAcentral.
CCAUAUACAUUGCACACUUUUUUCUUGGUGAAUGAGUCACUUGUUUUGAAUCUUGCAAAUUGAUGUUGUUUUAUGAGGGAGUUUCGAAUGUUUAAGCAAUUCCUAAUUGAUUUGCUCUCCCGCUCGAGGGCGCUUUCACGGCAUUGUCAUUUGAGAAUUGUUGUGGUGUGUCUGCUAUCAAAUGGUUACGGUGUAGCGGUUGUCAAAGCGACGCAAUCGCCAAGGUUGUCUGAGG